Molecule: ribosomal RNA, 499 nt
Filed under: uncultured bacterium
Lineage: Bacteria
Description: bacterial SSU rRNA
Rfam family: Bacterial small subunit ribosomal RNA
Source: RNAcentral
AGUGAACGCUGGCGGCAGGCCUAACACAUGCAAGUCGAGCGGCAGCGCGUCCGACCACCCUCGGGUGGUCGGAUGGCGGCGAGCGGCGGACGGGUGAGGAAUGCAUCGGAAUCUGCCUCGUUGUGGGGGAUAACGUAUGGAAACGUACGCUAAUACCGCAUGCGCCCUACGGGGGAAAGUCGGGGACCGCAAGGCCUGACGCGAUUGGAUGAGCCCAUGUUCGAUUAGCUAGUUGGCGGGGUAAAGGCCCACCAAGGCGACGAUCGAUAGCUGGUCUGAGAGGAUGAUCAGCCACACUGGAACUGAGACACGGUCCAGACUCCUACGGGAGGCAGCAGUAGGGAAUAUUGGACAAUGGGGGCAACCCUGAUCCAGCCAUGCCGCGUGAGUGAAGAAGGCCCUCGGGUUGUAAAGCUCUUUUGUCCGGAAAGAAAGCAAUCGGUUAAUACCCGGUUGUCCUGACGGUACCGGAAGAAUAAGCACCGGCUAACUUCGUGCC